This 292-nucleotide ribosomal RNA is filed under the name uncultured bacterium. RNAcentral describes it as "partial 16S ribosomal RNA". It matches the Rfam family "Bacterial small subunit ribosomal RNA", at positions 505 to 796 of the family's 1533-position model. The record is from RNAcentral.
GUGCCAGCAGCCGCGGUAAUACGUAGGGGGCAAGCGUUGUCCGGAUUUAUUGGGCGUAAAGAGCGUGUAGGCGGCUAUACAGGUCCGUUGUGAAAACUCGAGGCUCAACCUCGAGACGCCGAUGGAAACCGUAUGGCUAGAGUCCGGAAGAGGAGAGCGGAAUUCCUGGUGUAGCGGUGAAAUGCGCAGAUAUCAGGAAGAACACCCGUGGCGAAGGCGGCUCUCUGGGACGGUACUGACGCUGAGACGCGAAAGCGUGGGGAGCGAACAGGAUUAGAAACCCGUGUAGUCC